Molecule: ribosomal RNA, 435 nt
Filed under: uncultured bacterium
Lineage: Bacteria
Description: partial 16S ribosomal RNA
Rfam family: Bacterial small subunit ribosomal RNA
Source: RNAcentral
AACGAACGCUGGCGGCGGGCUUAACACAUGCAAGUCGAACGCGUGCAGCAAUGCACGAGUGGCGCACGGGUGAGUAACGAGUGGAUAUCUGCCUUUUGGUUCGGAAUAACCCCGGGAAACUGGGGCUAAUACCGGAUGGUUCCUACGGGAUAAAGAUUUAUCGCCAAAAGAUGAGUCCGCGUCCGAUUAGCUAGUUGGUGAGGUAAUGGCUCACCAAGGCGACGAUCGGUAGCUGGUCUGAGAGGACGAUCAGCCACACUGGGACUGAGACACGGCCCAGACUCCUACGGGAGGCAGCAGUGGGGAAUAUUGGACAAUGGGGGCAACCCUGAUCCAGCCAUGCCGCGUGAGUGAUGAAGGCCUUCGGGUUGUAAAGCUCUUUUGGCGGGGACGAUGAUGACGGUACCCGCAGAAUAAGCCCCGGCUAACUUCGUG